Molecule: ribosomal RNA, 253 nt
Filed under: uncultured bacterium
Lineage: Bacteria
Description: partial 16S ribosomal RNA
Rfam family: Bacterial small subunit ribosomal RNA
Source: RNAcentral
UACGGGGGGAGCAAGCGUUGUUCGGAUUUACUGGGCGUAAAGGGCGCGUAGGCGGCGCAACAAGUCACUUGUGAAAUCUCCGGGCUUAACUCGGAACGGUCAAGUGAUACUGUUGUGCUAGAGUGCGGAAGGGGCAACUGGAAUUCUCGGUGUAGCGGUGAAAUGCGCAGAUAUCGGGAGGAACACCAAUUGCGAAGGCAGCUCGCUGGGACGUUACUGACGCUGAGACGCGAAAGCGUGGGGAGCAAACAGG